GAAGCUGAAUGAAAUGAAUGAUUG
RNAcentral lists this non-coding RNA (24 nucleotides) under Arabidopsis thaliana (thale cress). Lineage: Eukaryota; Viridiplantae; Streptophyta; Magnoliopsida; Brassicales; Brassicaceae. The record is from RNAcentral.